GAUGAACGCUGGCGGCGUGCUUAACACAUGCAAGUCGAACGGGAAACCUUUUAUUGAAGCUUCGGCAGAUUUGGCUGGUUUGUAGUGGCGGCGGGGGGAGUAACGCGUGGGUAACCUGCCUAAUACAGGGGGAUAAGAGUCAGAAAUGGCUGCUAAUACCGCGUAAGCGCACAGAGCUGCAUGGCUCAGCGUGAAAGACUGCGUUGGUAUAAGAUGGACUCGCGUUGGAUUGGCUGGUUGGUGGGGUCUCGGCCCACCAAGGCGACGAUCCAUAGCCGGCCUGAGAGGGUGAACGGCCACAUUGGGACUGAGACACGGCCCAGACUCCUACGGGAGGCAGCAGUGGGGAAUAUUGCACAAUGGGGGAAACCCUGAUGCAGCGACGCCGCGUGAAGGAAGAAGUAUCUCGGUAUGUAAACUUCUAUCAGCAGGGAAGAUAAUGACGGUACCUGACUAAGAAGCCCCGGCUAACUACGUG
This 478-nucleotide ribosomal RNA is filed under the name uncultured bacterium. RNAcentral's name for it is "partial 16S ribosomal RNA". It matches the Rfam family "Bacterial small subunit ribosomal RNA", at positions 28 to 507 of the family's 1533-position model. The record is from RNAcentral.